CAACAGGGAUUGCCCCAGUAACGGCGAGUGAAGCGGCAACAGCUCAAAUUUGAAAUCUGGCCCCCGGGCCCGAGUUGUAAUUUGUAGAGGAUGCUUUUGGUGAGGUGCCUUCCGAGUUCCCUGGAACGGGACGCCAUAGAGGGUGAGAGCCCCGUCUGGUUGGACACCGAGCCUCUGUAAAGCUCCUUCGACGAGUCGAGUAGUUUGGGAAUGCUGCUCUAAAUGGGAGGUAUAUGUCUUCUAAAGCUAAAUAUUGGCCAGAGACCGAUAGCGCACAAGUAGAGUGAUCGAAAGAUGAAAAGCACUUUGAAAAGAGAGUUAAAAAGUACGUGAAAUUGUUGAAAGGGAAGCGCUCAUGACCAGACUUGGGCUUGGUUGAUCAUCUAGGGUUCUCCCUAGUGCACUCCUCCAGCCCAGGCCAGCAUCAGUUUGCCCCGGGGGACAAAGGCGUCGGGAAUGUGGCUCCCUCCGGGGAGUGUUAUAGCCCGUCGUGUAAUACCCUGGGGCGGACUGAGGUUCGCGCAUCUGCAAGGAU
RNAcentral lists this ribosomal RNA (535 nucleotides) under Fusarium staphyleae. RNAcentral's name for it is "LSU rRNA". It matches the Rfam family "Eukaryotic large subunit ribosomal RNA", at positions 66 to 624 of the family's 3401-position model. Lineage: Eukaryota; Fungi; Ascomycota; Sordariomycetes; Hypocreales; Nectriaceae. The record is from RNAcentral.